UACGUAGGGGGCAAGCGUUAUCCGGAUUUACUGGGUGUAAAGGGAGCGUAGACGGCCAUGCAAGUCUGAUGUGAAAACCCGGGGCUCAACCCCGGGACUGCAUUGGAAACUGUGCGGCUGGAGUGUCGGAGAGGCAAGUGGAAUUCCUAGUGUAGCGGUGAAAUGCAUAGAUAUUACACAGAACACCGAUUGCGAAGGCAGCUUGCUAGGCCGGAUCUGACACUGAUGCACGAAAGCGUGGGGAUCGAACAGG
RNAcentral lists this ribosomal RNA (253 nucleotides) under uncultured Blautia sp. RNAcentral's name for it is "partial 16S ribosomal RNA". It matches the Rfam family "Bacterial small subunit ribosomal RNA", at positions 524 to 776 of the family's 1533-position model. The record is from RNAcentral. Lineage: Bacteria; Bacillati; Bacillota; Clostridia; Lachnospirales; Lachnospiraceae.